Equus caballus (horse) is the source of this 2296-nucleotide long non-coding RNA. The record is from Ensembl. NCBI's taxonomy places the organism in Eukaryota, Metazoa, Chordata, Mammalia, Perissodactyla, Equidae.
GUCUGUCUGUAAAGUCCUGGGCCUGCAUAAGCCUGCCGUUCUUCUUGGCUGCCUCUGGCUUUCCACCCCCAGGCCAGAAGCAGAGUGAGAGAAACCAUUGUUCUUGUGGCGGUUGUCUUUUAAAAAUUGGCCAUUUGAGGCCCUUUCAACUGACUUCCCAUUGUACAUAGAGGAAACCCAAGGACCAGAAAAGUAGGGUACCGUCCCCCCGUGUUAAGUGGCAAGCUGUGCCUCCGAGCGCAGACUAAGAGCCCUUUCCCAGACACUGGGCGCUGUGCCCAGGGGCUCGUCUCCGGCCACGCUGUGGCUGUGAGCUACCAGCACUCAGCUCUGCUCUUAGCACAGCUCUGGGCUCAGCUAAUGCUUGUCCUGCAAGGACCACAGAGGCACAUCUUCUGCCCUCAUGGUGUACAGAGGAGGAAACUGAGGCCCGGAGAGGAGGACUGGCUGGCUGCUCUGGGUCACACAGUGAGUGGGGACGGGGGCCAGUGCUGUGCUCCCUCCCCUCCCGCCUUUCUGUCCAGUCAGUGUGCUUGCUGAGCACCUCCGCGGGGGAGCUGGGGCCCUGUGCGAGUGCUGUGGGUGCCAGGAAGAGGGGCGGGAGAGACUGGCUCUGGGGGCCAGGCCUGAGGCAUAGGACAGACAACAGGAUGUGUCUCAGCCCCACCCCGCAGCCCAGGAGUCAGUGUCUCCAUUCACAUUAGGAGGGGAGGCUGGAGAGGGGGAAGGCCAGGCUUGUUCUUCUACAGUUGGGGAAACUGAGGCAGAGAGCUUCAGAGCAAAAUAGUGAUUCAUUUGGGUUCAGGAGAGUCCCUACCAAUGCUUUCUGCUCUCAGCCCCCUAACUUCCAAAUCUCUGGCCCAGGUACCCCAAGCCUCUGAGGGCAUCCCCAGACCGGAGGGACCAGGACUCGGGGGGUGAAGCCCACUGUGCCUCUCACUUGCAGGAUGACUUUGGAACGAGUCACAGCCCUUCCCUGGUCCUCACCUGCACAGGGUGUCAAUGGUGAUCUCUGGCCUCACGCAUCCCCUGAGGGCUGACAUCCCCUGAGGGUGACUUUUCUUUGAAAGUUAUAAAGUGAAGGGUAUGUGUGAGGUUCAUGAAGGGAACUCAGGAAAACUAGCAGUUGCAGGGGGGUGGGGGCAGGUCGCAGUCUCCAAGGAGGCAGGUUCCUGUGCAAGGGCUCCACGCUCUGGGGCGCCUUUAGCAUUACUCUACUUUUCGUAUUUGCUUAUGUAAUUAAUUUGUCUUUUUAUUGCCCCUAAAAUAGACUUUACCACAAGUGUAAGGAAAUAAAGAGAAGCAGAAACAGAGAGAGAGCGAGCAAGGAAGAAAGAAAAGAAGGAAGAAAGGAAGAAAGAAAGAAGGAAAGAAAAAAAGAAAGAAAAAGAUAAAAAGACAAAGAAAGAAUCAUAGUGGUAACUCCCGGGAAAACCGCUGUUACCAUUUUGGUGGCGCUCCUUCCAGACUUUUCUCUGUGCAUGACUAUCAAAAUACCUAGAUGUACCUGUGUGUUAAAGACUAUAGCAUAAUAUUUUCUAUGUUGUUUUAUAAAGUUUUCUCUCUUUUCCACUUACCAAUAUUUUGAUAACAUUUCAUCUUGUCAACGAAUGUUCAUCUCCAGCGCCUUUUUUCCCUUGCGGCUGUGGACACCUCGUGGACGGGUCUACUGUGUUUGGGUGGGGACAUGGAGGCCCAAGGCCCCACAGCAGGUGAUGGAAGUGCCAAGCCCAGUGACCAGCCUGGGGUCCAUUCUGUGCCAGCUCACCUGCAGGGAGCAUUGCUGCUGAGGUCACAGUUCCUGGAGCCAGACUGCUCCUGGCACCGCCAUGCACACUCACGGUCAGAUGUGUGACAAUGGGAGUCGGACUUCAGAGCGGUUAUAGCUUCUUCCAGUGCCAAAGCGGAGGCUUCCUGGACGCAGCCCGGGACGGAGCGGCCUGGCAGAUGGGGACGUGGCGGGCGUUAUGGGCUGAAUUGUGUCCCCCUCCCCAGAAAUUCACAUGUUGAGGUCCUAACCCCAGUGUCAGAAUGUGGCUGUAUCUGGAGACAGGGUCUUUAACGAGGUAAUUGAGUUAAAAUGAGUUCAUUUAACCCAAUGUGACUGGUGUCCUUACGAGAAGAGGGGAUCAGGACACAGACACACACAGAAGGAAAAGCACGUGAAGAUAUGGGGACAAGGUGGCCACCGACAGGCCAAGGAGAGAGGCCGCAGGAGAAACCGGCCCUGCGGACACCUUGAUCUUGGACUUUGAGCCUCUAGAAUUGUGAGAAAAUAAAUUUUGUUGUUUGAGCC